Molecule: ribosomal RNA, 429 nt
Filed under: Pseudomonadota bacterium
Lineage: Bacteria; Pseudomonadati; Pseudomonadota
Description: Proteobacteria bacterium partial 16S ribosomal RNA
Rfam family: Bacterial small subunit ribosomal RNA
Source: RNAcentral
UGGGGAAUAUUGGACAAUGGGCGAAAGCCUGAUCCAGCCAUGCCGCGUGUGUGAAGAAGGUCUUCGGAUUGUAAAGCACUUUAAGUUGGGAGGAAGGGCAGUAAGCGAAUACCUUGCUGUUUUGACGUUACCGACAGAAUAAGCACCGGCUAACUCUGUGCCAGCAGCCGCGGUAAUACAGAGGGUGCAAGCAUUAAUCGGAAUUACUGGGCGUAAAGCGCGCGUAGGUGGUUCGUUAAGUUGAAUGUGAAAGCCCCGGGCUCAACCUGGGAACUGCAUCCAAAACUGGCGAGCUAGAGUAGGGCAGAGGGUGGUGGAAUUUCCUGUGUAGCGGUGAAAUGCGUAGAUAUAGGAAGGAACACCAGUGGCGAAGGCGACCACCUGGGCUCAUACUGACACUGAGGUGCGAAAGCGUGGGGAGCAAACAGG